AAAAGUUUUCAAGGUACGCUAUUGUGAAACACUGUAGAGACGUCAAAUUCUGGUCACCCCAGCUGAAGGGUCAGGAAUGAGUAAGCUGUGAGUAUUUAUUCUAGGAUGACUACACGGAGGCCCUCCAGCUUGACUGGGUCUUCAAAGACACCCGGAAUCCCUCAUGCCUUGUGGAGGCCAACAGAAGAGCCAGUGGGCUGCCAUUGGGGGUGGGCUGGGGGCUGCACUACCCUGCAGCAAAGGGCACAAAGGAGGCCAGGGCCGAUGUAUGAGGGUUGGGGGAGAGAGUCUCUAACGUGUAGCAGUCGGGGUGGCAAAGGCACAAGGAGCAAAGUGCGAUGGCAGCGACCACCAGGAACACAACCCAGCACAAGAAGCAGACCAGCACCGACCCUUGUCACAGCAUUCAGAAACACACACCAGCAAUGCCUCAUGGGGACCAGUCCAGGGAGCAGAGGGGCCACUUGGCAGCUGAGGCCAGCAAGGCUCCAUGAACCCACAAGAACCCGCCGUACACCUGCCUCCAGUCCCUGGUGCCAACUCAGAGGCAAGCAGGGCAGGGAUGAUGAUGUUCUAAAGAUGCAGAGGAGAAGCUGAGAGAUUGUUGAAAGUAUUGCAGCGUGCUGGAUCGCUUUUCCUUACAACCCAGUGCAGCGGUGGAAGCAGGGAACCGAGAACCUGACAUGAUCUGAAGUCUCUGUCGAGUUGGAGUUGGCGAGCUCAGGUGUGUUCAGGUGGUACCUUUAAACGCGCAGGCGCAGAUGCAGAGACGACUCCUGAGCUGGGAUCUGCAGUGGCGCCAGGACCUGCGACAUCAGCAAGAUGGAUGGCGGCCCGGCCAGGAUCAGUGCCAGCCAGCAGAGGCC
This 866-nucleotide long non-coding RNA is filed under the name Equus caballus (horse). Its description in RNAcentral is "lncRNA (ENSECAG00000054004.1)". Lineage: Eukaryota; Metazoa; Chordata; Mammalia; Perissodactyla; Equidae. The record is from RNAcentral.